GAGAAAAAUGAUGUUAUUGAAUCAUUGCACUUAGAAUUUUGUAAAUAUAUAAUGAAAGUUAAAAAAUGUACACCUAAUUGCAUUGUAUAUGGUGAACUAGGUAGAGUACCAAUGUCUGUUAAUAUUAAGGCAAGAAUGGUUGGUUUUUUUUGGAAACGUAUUGUUACUGGCAAAAAAGAGAAAAUUUCUCGUACAUUGUAUGAAAUGCUAUAUAAACUUGAUUCUGGUAAUGUAUACCACUCUAAGUGGUUGAAUUGUGUAAAAGAUAUAUUAUCUGAAUGUGGUUUUAUUAAUGCCUGGAAUAAUCAAUAUAUAGAUACAAACUGUCAGUUGUCUAAAAAUGUGAAACAGUAUUACCACAAUUUGUUUGUAAAUGAAUGGAAGGCUCAGAUAUUUAAUACGUCAAAAUGUUUAAAUUAUAGAAUGUACAAGUCUGAGUUUGGUUUUGAAGAUUAUUUAACUACAUUGCCUUUUGAUCUAAGAAUUAAUUUGUGUAAAUAUAGGUGCAGUAGUCAUAGGUUACCUAUUGAAUGUGGUAGAUUUUAUAGCAUUGAUAGAUCAGAAAGAAUAU
Molecule: long non-coding RNA, 571 nt
Filed under: Mytilus galloprovincialis (Mediterranean mussel)
Lineage: Eukaryota; Metazoa; Mollusca; Bivalvia; Mytilida; Mytilidae
Source: RNAcentral